UACGAAGGUGGCAGGCGGUGUUCGGAUUUACUGGGCGUACAGGGAGCGUAGGCGGUUGGGUAAGCCCUCCGUGAAAUCUCCGGGCCCAACCCGGAAAGUGCGGAGGGGACUGCUCGGCUAGAGGAUGGGAGAGGAGCGCGGAAUUCCCGGUGUAGCGGUGAAAUGCGUAGAGAUCGGGAGGAAGGCCGGUGGCGAAGGCGGCGCUCUGGAACAUUUCUGACGAUGAGGCUCGAAAGAGUGGGGAGCAAACAGG
This 253-nucleotide ribosomal RNA is filed under the name uncultured bacterium. RNAcentral describes it as "partial 16S ribosomal RNA". It matches the Rfam family "Bacterial small subunit ribosomal RNA", at positions 524 to 776 of the family's 1533-position model. The record is from RNAcentral.